RNAcentral lists this non-coding RNA (24 nucleotides) under Arabidopsis thaliana (thale cress). The record is from RNAcentral. Lineage: Eukaryota; Viridiplantae; Streptophyta; Magnoliopsida; Brassicales; Brassicaceae.
AGGCUUUUAAGAUCGAGUUGCGGU